AACCUCCGCAAUGUGAGAAAUCGCGACGGGGGGAUCCCAAGUGCCAUUCUUAACGGGAUGGCUUUUCUUAAGUGUAAAAAGCUUUUGGAAUAAGAGCUGGGCAAGACCGGUGCCAGCCGCCGCGGUAACACCGGCAGCUCUAGUGGUAGCUGUUUUUAUUGGGCCUAAAGCGUUCGUAGCCGGUUUGAUAAGUCACUGGUGAAAUCCUGUAGCUUAACUGUGGGAAUUGCUGGUGAUACUGUUGAACUUGAGGUCGGGAGAGGUUAGCGGUACUCCCAGGGUAGAGGUGAAAUUCUGUAAUCCUGGGAGGACCACCUGUGGCGAAGGCGGCUAACUGGAACGAACCUGACGGUGAGGGACGAAAGCUAGGGGCGCGAACCGGAUUAGAUACCCGGGUAGUCCUAGCCGUAAACGAUGCGGACUUGGUGUUGGGAUGGCUUUGAGCCGCUCCGGUGCUGAAGGGAAGCUGUUAAGUCCGCCGCCUGGGAAGUACGGUCGCAAGACUGAAACUUAAGGAAUU
This 520-nucleotide ribosomal RNA is filed under the name uncultured bacterium. RNAcentral describes it as "bacterial SSU rRNA". It matches the Rfam family "Archaeal small subunit ribosomal RNA", at positions 345 to 866 of the family's 1478-position model. The record is from RNAcentral.